Molecule: ribosomal RNA, 75 nt
Filed under: Lactobacillus delbrueckii subsp. bulgaricus
Lineage: Bacteria; Bacillati; Bacillota; Bacilli; Lactobacillales; Lactobacillaceae
Description: partial 16S ribosomal RNA
Rfam family: Bacterial small subunit ribosomal RNA
Source: RNAcentral
UUUUAAAUUGAGAGUUUGAUCCUGGCUCAGGACGAACGCUGGCGGCGUGCCUAAUACAUGCAAGUCGAGCGAGCU